RNAcentral lists this transfer RNA (85 nucleotides) under Gammaproteobacteria bacterium HGW-Gammaproteobacteria-8. RNAcentral's name for it is "tRNA-Leu". It matches the Rfam family "tRNA". Rfam says of the family: Transfer RNA (tRNA) molecules are approximately 80 nucleotides in length. Their secondary structure includes four short double-helical elements and three loops (D, anti-codon, and T loops). Further hydrogen bonds mediate the characteristic L-shaped molecular structure. tRNAs have two regions of fundamental functional importance: the anti-codon, which is responsible for specific mRNA codon recognition, and the 3' end, to which the tRNAs corresponding amino acid is attached (by aminoacyl-tRNA synthetases). tRNAs cope with the degeneracy of the genetic code in two manners: having more than one tRNA (with a specific anti-codon) for a particular amino acid; and 'wobble' base-pairing, i.e. permitting non-standard base-pairing at the 3rd anti-codon position. Lineage: Bacteria; Pseudomonadati; Pseudomonadota; Gammaproteobacteria. The record is from RNAcentral.
GCCGAGGUGGCGAAAUUGGUAGACGCGCCAGGUUUAGGUCCUGGUGGGAAUUCCCGUGGAGGUUCGAGUCCUCUCCUCGGCACCA